This 234-nucleotide ribosomal RNA is filed under the name Triticum aestivum (bread wheat). RNAcentral describes it as "partial small subunit ribosomal RNA". Lineage: Eukaryota; Viridiplantae; Streptophyta; Magnoliopsida; Poales; Poaceae. The record is from RNAcentral.
AUGAAAAUCUUAGCCUGGAAUUGUCGCGGGCUUGGGAACGCCCCGGAAAUUCGUGCUUUGCUGGAUGUCCAGCGAAGAUGUGACCCCGAGGUGAUGUUUCUAUCGGAGACGCACCUUGAUACUCAUCCGGCAGAAUGUUUGAGGCGUAGUCUUAAGAUGGACCAGAAAUUGGUUUGUGUUAGUGAUGGUAGAAAGGGUGGAUUAUUGCUAUUUUGGAAAAAAUCGGUUAAAGUG